UUCCGGUUGAUCCCGCCGGACCUGACUGCUAUCGGAUUGAUACUAAGCCAUGCGAGUCAUUGUAGUAAUACAAGGCAGACGGCUCAGUAACGCGUAGUCAACCUACCCUAUGGACGGGGAUAACCUCGGGAAACUGAGAAUAAUACCCGAUAGAACAUUAUACCUGGAAUGGUUUAUGUUUCAAAUAAUUUAUUGCCGUAGGAUGGGACUGCGGCCUAUCAGUUUGUUGGUGAGGUAAUGGCCCACCAAGACUAUCACAGGUACGGGCUCUGAGAGGAGUAGCCCGGAGAUGGGUACUGAGACACGGACCCAGGCCCUAUGGGGCGCAGCAGGCGAGAAAACUUUGCAAUGUGCGAAAGCACGACAAGGUUAAUCCGAGUGGUUUCUGCUAAAGGAACCUUUUGUCAGUCCUAGAAACACUGGUGAAUAAGGGGUGGGCAAGUUCUGGUGUCAGCCGCCGCGGUAAAACCAGCACCUCAAGUGGUCAGGAUGAUUAUUGGGCCUAAAGCAUCCGUAGCCUGCUUUGUUAGUUUUCGGUUAAAUCCAUACGCUUAACGUAUGGGCUGCCGGGAAUACUGCAAAGCUAGGGAGUGGGAGAGGUAGACGGUACUCGGUAGGAAGGGGUAAAAUCCUUUGAUCUAUUGAUGACCACCUGUGGCGAAGGCGGUCUACCAGAACACGUCCGACGGUGAGGGAUGAAAGCUGGGGGAGCAAACCGGAUUAGAUACCCGGGUAGUCCCAGCUGUAAACUAUGCAAACUCAGUGAUGCAUUGGCUUGUGGCCAAUGCAGUGCUGCAGGGAAGCCGUUAAGUUUGCCGCCUGGGAAGUACGUACGCAAGUAUGAAACUUAAAGGAAUUGGCGGGGGAGCACCACAAGGGUGAAGCCUGCGGUUCAAUUGGAUUCAACGCCGGAA
This 914-nucleotide ribosomal RNA is filed under the name uncultured archaeon. RNAcentral's name for it is "bacterial SSU rRNA". It matches the Rfam family "Archaeal small subunit ribosomal RNA", at positions 1 to 923 of the family's 1478-position model. The record is from RNAcentral.